GAUUGGUGGUUGGUUAAUGGUGACCUUGGUACCUCCCUCGGUCUCCCUGUCACCACCACUGGUCACGAUGAUGUCUUCCCCAAGGGAUUAAUUCACACAACACGACCCCAAUCUUUCGCCAUGGAGAUGGGAAGAGAGUUUGGACUGCGGUUGUUCCCAUCUUUCAUCAAUACAGAAUUGAAUGACUGGAAGGCCGGGCCUUCAGGUGAGCAUAGCGCUCCACAGUCCCGGUGGCCCGAGGGGGGGGGCAGCAGUCACUUCCCUCUCCUGUCACCUCAGAUUUACCUCACUGCAGCCAGAGGAAGAGGAAAGAAUUCAUUCUCCCAGAGUCACAAGAGUUCACAGAGGACGUCUUCCCGCACAGCUGCCGAAUUGCUUAAUGAAGAGUGCCACCCUGUGUCUGAUCCCUCAAGAGGCAAAACUAGGAGGAGACCCCCACCAACAGCAUCCUAGUUGGAAACGCAGCCCUCAGCGAGAGUGCCGUGUUUCCACUGACGCCCUGGUUGGAUGCGUACCUGUGCCAGGGUUCAGAUCCACAGGUAAAAGACACUUCUUGUGGAACCAAACGCGACUCUCAGCUGGGACUUCGGGUGAGGACCUGGAAGUGGCUGCUCUCUUCCCAUUGGUUCACCAACAGCUGGAAUUUCAGACUCAUACAGUAGAGACACACCCACACAUACCAUCCCAUGCAUGACACAGACACAGUCUCGUGUGAAAGAGAGAAUCCAAAUCCCUUCCCAUCACCCUCCUUGAGGGACAAUAAAAGCCAUCGGCAUGGCUUCCCCUUUCCUGGUGCCAGUCAAAGGAUGUACACAAUGGCAAUGUCAGCAUCAGCACUGUGCAGAUGAUGAGGUCACCUCGUCAGGAGUUGGGGAGUCGGCCCUCCAGCCUGGGUGGUUCUUGAGAUGGCUGGUCUCUUCUGGAGGCCACUGGCAGAGAUCCACACACAGGACAGCUGAGGAGUCAAGGACCCAGGAUCUAACCAGGCCUCAGGCAGGGCUGUCAGCCCUUGACUCAGCACGCCUCCAUGCCAUCUCGUCCUAACAUGUCCCACCAGUCUCCACGGCGUGGACCCUGACUCUGGUUCUUUGUGCUCUCAGAACACCAGCCUAGAACUUACAGUUCAUCUCUCCCAGUACUGUCUCUAGCUUCUGGCCAACCUAGAGAGAGGUUUUGGAGUGGUGUCCACCCAGACAGGCUCAUCCUGCUGGAAGUUAUGAGGGGCAGUGCCCAGGACUACAUGCUGAAAAAGUCAUUCAUCCCCCCUCCCCCAUAAUUCUUUUAGAAUCUAAA
Mesocricetus auratus (golden hamster) is the source of this 1293-nucleotide long non-coding RNA. RefSeq lists it as uncharacterized. The transcript has 3 exons. NCBI's taxonomy places the organism in Eukaryota, Metazoa, Chordata, Mammalia, Rodentia, Cricetidae. The record is from RefSeq and is a predicted model, not a curated record.